This 1587-nucleotide long non-coding RNA is filed under the name Helianthus annuus (common sunflower). RNAcentral's name for it is "hypothetical non coding rna". The record is from RNAcentral. Lineage: Eukaryota; Viridiplantae; Streptophyta; Magnoliopsida; Asterales; Asteraceae.
UUGCAUGUGAACUUUAUGGAAUAGUGUACAUGAAAUGGGCGGCUAGUAGAAUACCUUGGUUACAAGAUCAAAUGUCAGUAGUGCAGGAGGUCAUGUGGGAUUUGGGCGGUCAUCUAUUCUGAUUGGUGGGGUUGGGCGGCCCAAGGAAGGGCAGUUGCUGUUGUAUCGGCCCACUAGCAAUUGAGGGCCCAUCGGAUUAUUUUUUAAGAAUUAAUAUUGUUGCCAUUGUGUUGGGAUGAAAAUAAAAUACCGGCGAAUCACCAGUUGACGAAACCGACUUGGCGAAACAAAGGUGUUUCGUCAAGACCCAUUACGACGAAACGACCUUGGCAAAACAGAAGUGUUUCGUCGGAGAGGGGUCACGGCGAAAUAGGGGGCGUUUCGCCAAUAGGUUAAUCUGCACAGUAACUUGGUUAAUUUCUGUUAGAAGUUAACUGGGAUGAUUAACAACUGUAAGCUAAUACGCAUGACUUAUAUGAUUCAGAAUACGUGCUAUGUGCUGCUUGGUAAUUGUUUAUGUGUUAUUUUAUACGAUGGUAUGUGCUUCGAGAAUAUAAACUGAUUACGUAUACAUGCACUCUAGGACUUGAUUGAUUAACUGUGAGCACAUAACUUAGCAUACCGAGCAAACCAAGGUGAGUUCACACAGCCAAGGCAUGGGGUUCCCAGGGUGGGAAUGGGUUUGGAUUAUUUACUUGUACUUACCUAGCUUAUGGAACUUAGUUAUAUGGACCUCGGGUGAGGAAGGGUGAUUGAUAAGAUACGACUAGACUAGUGAUACUAAUAGAACUGAUAUUCGCACACACGCCGGGGUCGGCCGCGAUAAUAUGACUAAUCAUCGCACACAUGCCUAGGAAGGCUGCGAACUAUACACUAAACUUCGCACACAUGCCGGGUGGCCGCGAUACAAAUAUACCUAGUCUAGAAUACUUGGGAAACUUCACCUAAUCUUCACAUACAUGCCUAGAUGGCCGCGAUACGAACUAAGACGAUACAUGACUUAGCGAACGAACACAAGGCUUACUAUACUAUUACAAUUACUGAACUAUUAAAUGUGAACUCGCUACACUAGUUGUUGACUCUCUGUUACAUGCCUUGCAGCACCUUAGGUACUUAUGGAGCUUGCACAGGGAGGAGCAGGUCGUUGUAGGACAUGGAUCGAGGAUGCCAUGUUAAACGUUUUAAACAUUUGAACUUAUGAUUUUCAUUGGGUUUACAUACUUAUGCUUCCGCUACUUAAAUUAUGUUUUUAUUGAACUCCAGUUAUAUUGUGAUGGGUUGUAAUGAUUACUUUUAACAUUUAAAUGCUAUGUUCAAUAUGAUUGGUGGCUUGAUCCUGGUCAGUCACGCUCCCAAGCGGUGAUACUCCGCGUGUGGAUUUUGGGGGUGUGACACUGCUCAAGCUCUCUUUCCACCUGGAUCGUGCUACAACUGUGGCAAGAUGGGUUAUUUCGUAAAUAAAUGCCCAAAGCUUGCUAAAGCCAAUCCAACCCACGGAUGAGCAGUUGGCUGGUUAGAAGAUGUUGCAGUCUUAUGCUUUUGUUUCUUCUAUUUUCUUUUACAUGUGUGUAUGGCAUUCCCUUAUGA